AGUGAACGCUGGCGGUAGGCCUAACACAUGCAAGUCGAACGGCAGCACAGAGGAGCUUGCUCCUUGGGUGGCGAGUGGCGGACGGGUGAGGAAUACAUCGGAAUCUACUCUGUCGUGGGGGAUAACGUAGGGAAACUUACGCUAAUACCGCAUACGACCUACGGGUGAAAGCAGGGGACCUUCGGGCCUUGCGCGAUUGAAUGAGCCGACGUCGGAUUAGCUAGUUGACGGGGUAAAGGCCCACCAAGGCGACGAUCCGUAGCUGGUCUGAGAGGAUGAUCAGCCACACUGGAACUGAGACACGGUCCAGACUCCUACGGGAGGCAGCAGUGGGGAAUAUUGGACAAUGGGCGCAAGCCUGAUCCAGCCAUACCGCGUGGGUGAAGAAGGCCUUCGGGUUGUAAAGCCCUUUUGUUGGGAAAGAAAUCCAGCUGGCUAAUACCCGGUUGGGAUGACGGUACCCAAAGAAUAAGCACCGGCUAACUUCGUGCCAGCCGCCGCGGUAA
This 506-nucleotide ribosomal RNA is filed under the name uncultured bacterium. Its description in RNAcentral is "partial 16S ribosomal RNA". It matches the Rfam family "Bacterial small subunit ribosomal RNA", at positions 29 to 523 of the family's 1533-position model. The record is from RNAcentral.